This 253-nucleotide ribosomal RNA is filed under the name uncultured bacterium. Its description in RNAcentral is "partial 16S ribosomal RNA". It matches the Rfam family "Bacterial small subunit ribosomal RNA", at positions 524 to 776 of the family's 1533-position model. The record is from RNAcentral.
UACAGAGGUCUCAAGCGUUGUUCGGAUUCAUUGGGCGUAAAGGGUGCGUAGGCGGCGCGGUAAGUCGGGUGUGAAAUCUCGGAGCUUAACUCCGAAACUGCAUUCGAUACUGCCGUGCUUGAGGACUGGAGAGGAGACUGGAAUUUACGGUGUAGCGGUGAAAUGCGUAGAUAUCGUAAGGAAGACCAGUGGCGAAGGCGGGUCUCUGGACAGUUCCUGACACUGAGGCACGAAGGUCAGGGGAGCAAACGGG